Molecule: transfer RNA, 62 nt
Filed under: Ptiliidae sp. BMNH 1274724
Lineage: Eukaryota; Metazoa; Arthropoda; Insecta; Coleoptera; Ptiliidae
Description: tRNA-Leu
Source: RNAcentral
AUUAUUUUGGCAGAUUAGUGCAUUAAAUUUAGAAUUUAAUUAUGUAUGUUUUACAAAUAAUA